GGGACGAACGCUGGCGGCGUGCUUAACACAUGCAAGUCGAGCGGUAAGGCCUUUCGGGGUACACGAGCGGCGAACGGGUGAGUAACACGUGGGUGAUCUGCCCUGCACUCUGGGAUAAGCCUGGGAAACUGGGUCUAAUACCGGAUAUGACCUGCUCUCGCAUGGGGGGUGGUGGAAAGAUUUAUCGGUGCAGGAUGGGCCCGCGGCCUAUCAGGCUUGGUUGGUGGGUAAUGGCCUACCAAGGCGACGACGGUA
This 255-nucleotide ribosomal RNA is filed under the name uncultured soil bacterium. Its description in RNAcentral is "partial 16S ribosomal RNA". It matches the Rfam family "Bacterial small subunit ribosomal RNA", at positions 27 to 285 of the family's 1533-position model. The record is from RNAcentral.